AGACGCACCCUGGAUUUAUUAUUACUUAUGUGCAUUUGAAUUUCUACGUCAUGCUGAUUAAGAAAUCAAAAAAAAAAAUUCAAUAGAAAUAAGGUAAAAUUAAUAAAUUUACGUUAAUAUAAUAUUACAGAUAAUACUACAGCAUAUUUACUGAAUACUGGCGGUUUUCGUGAAAACGAAGAAUACAAUAUUACGGAGUCGGAAACAUUAUUUUUCGGUGAGCAAUAAAAAACGUUUCAAAUUAUUCACUUUUGCAUAACCAUAUCAUAGUUGAUAAUCAAUGGCGGGUAACACAUAAACGUCAAACAAUAACCAGCCCGUUGAUAUUUUGUACAUCCGGACAAUAAUAGACUAAAAAUGUCGUGCCCGCCGUUUGUUAUUGUAAUAAUUGUUCGAAGCACACCACUUUCCGCGGUCCGUACGACCGUACACCAAGCGAAUGCAUAAUAAUAUUCGAAAUGUCUGCGGACAUGCGGAGGACAUGCCUGCCCGGCACCAGCAGCCCCAAGUCACAACAAGUCACAAUGAUUGUUCAUAAAUUUAGAUUAUAAUAUUAAUUUUGUAAAUCGUUGAUUGGGCGGGACGGCCGGGCGGUGUGGCGGGCGUGUUGUGGCGACAAUAACAACAGCGAUAAUAUUAUUAUUAUUAUCACAGAACUGUGACUUGUUCUGUGUUAUUGUUGCCACCACCGCAUUACUUAAGAAUAGUCAUUAAUCGUAUAAAUAAACGUUUAUUCUCAUAAUAAUAAUAUAUUUUCGUGAUUCGUCUACACUCUACGCCGCCUGUACAGCGUACAAUUAUUGUACAACACACUCUUCACUUUUCACUCUUCAGCCGCAGUCCAGUAAAUGCUCCAGUUGUCACUUGUCAGUGUGCAGAGCAGUCGGCGGGCCACACGACCACUUACUGCAUAUACAAAAUUCGUCCGACGCAGCAGAUCUGAGCAUAAUAUUGUCCUGUGUUUAUAUAGAAAUGCAAUGAUGAUAAUCAACAAAAAAUGCAAUUUAGCAACAGUAAUAUUGUUAUGCUAAAAAAUAUACGAAAUCCCCCAAGAGGUCAUCGCUCCCAGCUCGACAUGAUGUAAUAUCAUAACAUUGCAUUAAUGGGAUAAAAUAUUAACGGUCUUGUCAUUGAAGCAAACAAUCCGGAGAUUAAAUCUUUUGAAAAUAUCUUCGACUGUUUUUCGUUUACACCGCGAUGACGUAUUUUUUGUAUUCAUCGUCAGGUUGAUGGUGAUUAUAUGGCCCUAAGUAAAGAAACCUGAACCUAAUUUCACAACUCAACGUCUCGACAAUAAUUGGCUAUCCAAAUAAUAUCAUAGACAAUGGAGUCAUCAAUUAACUUAUGGAUGUAAAACAAACAUUAAAUUACAUAUAAAUAUUAUGAUAAUAAAAUACCAUUCGCGGUAUAGGCUAUAAUGCCUAUGUCAAUAAAUUAAAAAUAAUAAAAUACAGUUGGGUGGUAAUUAGUGGGUUUUUAUUUAUUAAUAUUUU
Molecule: long non-coding RNA, 1493 nt
Organism: Myzus persicae (green peach aphid)
Lineage: Eukaryota; Metazoa; Arthropoda; Insecta; Hemiptera; Aphididae
Exons: 3
Source: RefSeq, a predicted model, not a curated record